Molecule: long non-coding RNA, 847 nt
Filed under: Oryctolagus cuniculus (rabbit)
Lineage: Eukaryota; Metazoa; Chordata; Mammalia; Lagomorpha; Leporidae
Description: lncRNA (ENSOCUG00000032454.1)
Source: RNAcentral
AGCCCAGCGCAAGUCCGAGCCCAGGUCCCCUCCUCCCACCCGGACAUGUGGACCCCGGCCCAGGUGAGGCUCCAGAAUUCCUGUGGUGAAGGGGGCGGGGCGUCUGCUGGGAACCUGGAUGUAGCUCCUGGGGCCUCCUUGCACCUGCUGGGGACCCGGAUGGAGCUCCUGGGGGCCCCGUGCGCCUGCUGGGGACCCGGAUGGAGCACCAGGGAGCCCCGUGCACCUGCUGGGGACUGGGAUGGAGCUUCUGGGAGACCUGGAUGGAGCCCUGGGAGACCCAGAUGAAGCCCUGGGGACCCGGAUGGAACCUCUGGAGACCCAGAUGGAGCCCCUGGGAGACCCGGAUGGAGCCCCCAGGGGUCCUGUGCACCUACUGGAGACCAGGAUGGAGCCCUGGGGGUCCCUGUGCACCUGCUGGAGACCCGGAUGGAGCUCCUGGUGCAGACUCAGGGCCCCUGUGCACCUGCUGGGGACCCGGAUGGAGUUACUUUUUGCCCAUGGCCCUAACCUCGUCCCCUCCCCACAGAUCAGUACCCACGCCCUGACGGAAAUCCCGCCCUCGCCGACCCCCAAGGUAAGGCUGCUGCCUUCUGGAAGCUUCUACCACACUCACAGGACCAGUCCCUGGCCCCAGUGGUGGGGGGAGGAGGAGGGCAGGGCUCUAUCCUGGUCUCCCCAGGGGUCUCUGACUGACCGUCCCCCUCCCCCAGGGAGCACAGUAGCCCGAGUGCUGACCCCCGUGGCGUCCCUGGUGCUGCUGGCCCUGCUGGGGGCUGGGGUCUCCUACUUCCGGUCACCCCGGGCCCGGAGCUGCUUCCGGAGGAGCCAACCUCCAAGCGCCUGA